AGGUAGUGACUGCGGAGGAUCAUUACCGAGUUGAUUCGGGCUCCGGCCCGAUCCUCCCACCCUUUGUGUACCUACCUCUGUUGCUUUGGCGGGCCGCGGUCCUCCGCGGCCGCCCCCCUCCCCGGGGGGUGGCCAGCGCCCGCCAGAGGACCAUCAAACUCCAGUCAGUAAACGAUGCAGUCUGAAAAACAUUUAAUAAACUAAAACUUUCAACAACGGAUCUCUUGGUUCUGGCAUCGAUGAAGAACGCAGCGAAAUGCGAUAAGUAAUGUGAAUUGCAGAAUUCAGUGAAUCAUCGAAUCUUUGAACGCACAUUGCGCCCUUUGGUAUUCCGAAGGGCAUGCCUGUUCGAGCGUCAUUACAACCCUCAAGCUCUGCUUGGUAUUGGGCACCGUCCUUUGCGGGCGCGCCUCAAAGACCUCGGCGGUGGCGUCUUGCCUCAAGCGUAGUAGAACAUACAUCUCGCUUCGGAGCGCAGGGCGUCGCCCGCCGGACGAACCUUCUGAACUUUUCUCAAGGUUGACCUCGGAUCAGGUAGGGAUACCCGCUGAACUUAAGCAUAUCUAAAAACGGGGAAGAGAA
Molecule: ribosomal RNA, 582 nt
Filed under: Botryosphaeria dothidea
Lineage: Eukaryota; Fungi; Ascomycota; Dothideomycetes; Botryosphaeriales; Botryosphaeriaceae
Description: eukaryotic LSU rRNA
Rfam family: 5.8S ribosomal RNA (bases 205-358)
Source: RNAcentral